UACGGAGGGUGCAAGCGUUAAUCGGAAUUACUGGGCGUAAAGCGCACGCAGGCGGUUUGUUAAGUCAGAUGUGAAAUCCCCGGGCUCAACCUGGGAACUGCAUUUGAAACUGGCAAGCUUGAGUCUUGUAGAGGGGGGUAGAAUUCCAGGUGUAGCGGUGUAAUGCGUAGAGAUCUGGAGGAAUACCGGUGGCGAAGGCGGCCCCCUGGACAAAGACUGACGCUCAGGUGCGAAAGCGUGGGGAGCAAACAGG
This 253-nucleotide ribosomal RNA is filed under the name uncultured bacterium. Its description in RNAcentral is "partial 16S ribosomal RNA". It matches the Rfam family "Bacterial small subunit ribosomal RNA", at positions 524 to 776 of the family's 1533-position model. The record is from RNAcentral.